CUGAACUCGAGUAGGGCCCAAGCAAGCCAGGAAGGAGGAGGCAGCCAGAGUGUUCUCUGCAGCAGAAGACUCCUUGCUGCCCUGCUUAACCCAGACCAGCAUUUUCCAGAAAUCUGUAAAAGUGAUGUUUUUAUGAAGGUGCGGGUCACUGAGGAAGACAUACAUCGAAACACAUCAGAUGUGUUGGAAAUGAACCACUGAAAAGGCCUCUUACAUUUUGAAAAGACUUCUCAUUGUUUGGUGGAAAGGCAUUCGGUCUUCAUAAGGAUUUUGGCUCAUGGCACUAAGCUGAAGUUGUGACUUGUAUGCAGUAGGAUCCUAACUGAACUGGAAUCUGAACCCAUCUCUCCUGUUUCCAAGGUGAAACCCCAUCUGCUGGGACAGCUUUGCUAUGUUCUCUAUAAAACAAUAUGCUUGGCUCUUUGCAGAGCCAUUAUUGCUUCAGGGCCCCUAAUCAAUAAGUAGUGCUGCUAUUCU
Hemicordylus capensis (graceful crag lizard) is the source of this 477-nucleotide long non-coding RNA. RefSeq lists it as uncharacterized. Lineage: Eukaryota; Metazoa; Chordata; Lepidosauria; Squamata; Cordylidae. The transcript has 3 exons. The record is from RefSeq and is a predicted model, not a curated record.